This 7357-nucleotide long non-coding RNA is filed under the name Nicotiana tabacum (common tobacco). RNAcentral's name for it is "long non-coding RNA (NTAB_LNC005472)". The record is from RNAcentral. Lineage: Eukaryota; Viridiplantae; Streptophyta; Magnoliopsida; Solanales; Solanaceae.
AAAAGUGUCGCCCCUCCUUUCUCUCCUCUCUCCUCCACCUCCCUUUGUCAGAACCCUGGCGGGAAUCUCGUUUUUGCCACCUUCCUCUCAUCUGCUCCAUCUGACCUAUCUUCUAAAACCUUAGCACCAAAUGGUGCAAGGUCUGAUUUUGUCACCCUAGCCUCACAAAUUUCCUUUUCCCUUCAUCUCUCUCAUUGUCCUCUCUUGAACCCCCCCAACACCAAUUGGCGUUACUUCAACAUCCUUCGUGUCAUCAUGACUUUGAGAAUCAGAUUCUCUGUCACAAAUCCCUUGAUUCAACUUCAUGUGAUUUGUACAUGAGUUUGAAUUGACUCAUGAGAUUCGAGAGACUUCAAAUCUGAAGGAGUUUUUAUCCGCUGGACAAAGAUUGAAACCAACGGACAAGCCUUCGACCCCGAAGUCCUAGCUUCAACAACUCUUUCCCUUUUCAUGAAUGCCUCCAAAAGGUAAUGAUUUUCACCUUUUCCAUUUGAUCUUUACCAUGACUUCCAUCAUGAUUUCAUCAUCAUUUUUCUUCAAAUUCUGAAAUUUAAGUUUCAAAUCUGAAAAGGUCUUCAAUUUGGGCUAUAAAUAGCCGACUUCAAUACUCUUUUCACAACAUGAGAUACACUACUCAUUAUGUGAAAAAAAACUCUCUGAUAAUUCGAGUUUUUAGUGCUUUACUCAUUUUGUUUUCUCCUCUGUUUGAUUCGAUUGAGCAAGGGCGGAUUUAGGGGGCGGAAGGGUGUUCAUCCGAACAUCCUUCGUCGGAAAAAGUUACACUGUUUAUAUAGGGGUAAUUUUAUUUUUUUACGUAUAGAUAUAAUAUGUUGAACGCCCUUGACACAAGUCAAAAGCUUGGCUUAGUGGUCAAGGGUGUUCAGAUUUUGUAAAAGGUCGCAGUUUCAAUUCCCGUCAACUGAAAUCUAAUUCUUUUUACCUCAUACUUUUUUUUAAAAUUUUAAACUAAACGAAACGACGUCGUUUUCGUUUCGUCUCUUUUAAUAUGUUUUUCCCCAAAAACGUAACUGACUUUGAGUUAAAAUCCCUAAAUCUCUCUCUCACUUCAUUGCCUCAAUGGCUCCCUCCACUCUCUCUCUCUCUCUCUCUCUCUCUCUCUCUCUCUCUCUCUCUCUCUGUGUGUGUGUGUCUCUCUCUCUCUUUCUCCAAUCUCUCUACCUUGCUGCUGUUGCUUGCUAUUCUUCUGUCAUGGCAUUGUCAUCCCAGGUAAAUUCCUUGUUCUUUCUAAUUUUUCAGAAAUUUAUUAGUAUUUUAUUGGUUAUUCUUAAUUUAGAUUAAUGACUCUUGUUUGUUGUUUUUUGAUUCUUGAAUCCGUAGACUUUAAUAAUGUAAAUUAUUGAGUUUUCUACUGCAUUUGCUUUGAUAAAUUUAUGAAAAAUAAUUGCUAAUUUUUUUUAGAAUUGAGAUACUUUUGACUCGAUCUUUGGUGAUAAUUGCUCAUAUUUUAUCCCCUUCCGCUGCAUAAGUUACAAUGAUUAAUAUUGUGUAGGAAGGAAAAAAAUUCCAAUCUCUUACUAUCCAAAUAAAAUAAAAUAUAAUAUAAAUCGCUAGUACGUGUGCGUUUUCAACAUAUCGUUAGCGUGAGUUUCGACGAUAGUUUAGUUCCUAUUUAGAUUUUUUUUAUGCAUCCGUUUGACAUUACAUUUGGAUUCAAUAAAUUUCGAUGAACCCUUUCGAUGAAAUUUUUACUGUUCAAUUCUUUAUAAUAUUGAACACCCUUGUUCGGAAUUCUGGAUCCGCCACUACGAUUGAGUUUGAGUUUGGGAGUUUAAUUUUGGAGACGAAUCUUUGACGACUCGACCCGACGCCCCAGUCUGCUGCCCCGAAAGAGAAUUCCAUUUUGAAACUCAACGACGUCGCUGCUGCAUAGAGACUGCACAUCCUCAUUCUUCGGUUUUCAUAUCGUUUAGACAUAAACAUAGAAGAGAAAAUCUUCUGGGAACUGAGCAGAGACUCUUGAAACGGUCCUUUCUGCUUCACUUAUUUGCUAUAUGACUUACUAUUCUAAUUUUUAUUAUGUGAUUGACUGUUAGGAUCUAAUUCUAUUAUAAAUCACAGUCAAGUCUUUUAAUUAUGUAUUUUGUUUUAUAGUUACAUAUAGUUGAAACUCUUUAGAAUCAUGAAUGUGCAUCAAAUACUAGUUGUUGAGCCUGCUAAAGUAUUACAAAAGAAAUAUUAGUUUUUAAAAUUUAUUUCUUCAUUCUAUCGAUUUUAGAUUAAAAACUCCACCUUGGUGAUUUUUUUAAAAGGCUAUAAAGCUAGUAGUAUUUCUAACACACAGAAGUUGUCAUCUAUGUUUUCCUUUCAGUGUUGCAAACAUUUAAGUCGAGUUUGUUAUCUGUACUUCCUUUAGAAACAUUUUCUGAACUAACUUGCCUAAUGUUUCAACAUGAUCCACUUGUAGGUAGAAAGUAGUAUUUUCAAUGAUACAAGCAUCAAUUUUCUUAUAAGACAAAGAGAAUUCUCUUCAACAUAAUUUUUGGUGUGAACCUGAUUUUCUUUUAAAAAGGUUCUCCAUAUUUAUACUUAGUCCUAAUUAACUUUAAUCCGGUCGGUUAAUAAUUUUCUUUAAAUUAAUUGAGCCUUUAUUUUACUCAAACCCGGAAUAGUUAAAUUAUUAUAUUCUAGUUCAACCCGUUUAAAAUGGGGUACAACAAUGUAUCUUUGGUCACAAGUCUUUGAUCAAUCAAGUAUCAAGAAUUGAUAUAUUCCAUACAUUUAAUGUUUCUUUACAUGUACCUAACACUCGAGCGAUAUUGUUGUUUGAAGUUAAAUCGCAACACACAACCGAGUCAACACAUGAAGAAUGAGCAGAGUCGUCACCCCAAGUGGGGCCAGGUACGUUAAGGGACAUGAUGACAACGACAGGCUAUAGUUGACUUCUUGUAUGAAUAAUACAUACAACUUUAUUAAAUAAAGCAAUUCGUUACUCCCUCACUUUCUAAUUUUUGUAUCACUUUUUUAAAUAUUUCAAAACUUGACAACUUUUACUAUUACCUUAAAGUUUCGUCAUGCUUUUACAAUUCAUACAAUUCAAACAUCAAAACACUUUUAGCUUCACACAACUUUAGAAUGAUCAAACCUUUUAUUUAAUAAUCUCUUACGCAUUUCCCCUCUCACGACCCCAAUUUUCCUCUGUAGGAUGUCGUGAUGACACCUAAUUUCUAAGAUUAGGUAAGCCUAACAAUUUGCGGAAUAACUGAAUAUAAAACUGAACUCAAAUCUCAACACAUGAAAUAUGAAUAGAACCUGCGAUUCAAAUAAUUACAACUCCCAAAACCCGGUAGAAAUAAGUCACAAAUUUAUAAAAGAAAAUAUCAAGUGUCUCUAUACAUCAGAGUCUAAAGAAAAUAAGGAAAAGCAAUAUAGUAAGGAUGGGAGGGCUCCGAGGACUGUGGACGCUGGCAGAUAUACCUUGAAGUCUCCACGUACGGUCCAGCUCACUGGUAUCUGACCUGGUAGGAAGAACCUGGAUCUGCACAACAAGAUAUGCGGAAGUGUAGUAUGAGUACACCACAACGGUACCUAGUAAGUGUCAAGCCUAACCUCAGUAGAGUAGUGACGAGGUCAGAUCAUGGCCCUACUGGAAUAAAAGGUAAUGAGGCAUAGAAUAUAAUAAUACAAUGGAGUGACUGAGAAAUGAACAACGAGAAAUUUCAGAAAGGUAACAACACAGCAAAUAGAGAAAAAAACAGUGACGCUCCUGAGGUAUCGUCUCGUAGUCCCAAAUGUAAAUACACAAUAUGGGGAUCUCUCGAGGUACCGCCUUGUAGUCCUAAAAGUAAAUAUGCAAUGGGGGAUCUCCCAAGGUACCGCCUCGUAGUCCCAAAAGUAAAUAUGCAACAGGGGAUCUCCCGAGGUACCGCCUCGUAGUCCCAAAAGUAAAUACACAACUCAUAACCUAUGGUACAACGAACUUACAUCAAGGAAUCAUACAGUUAAAGACUGAAUACAAGAUCACGGAAGCAAGUAAUUCAACUAAGCAUGUUGCACAAAUUUAAAGUAAAGGUUAAGACACGUAGACAUGCGAUACUAGGCUAAACAUGACAGUUACACAUGCUAAGGCAACUAAGUUAUGGAAAUUAAAAGAAGACUACUCAGCAAGAACUGAAAUUUCCACAAUUAGCCGGUGUACACACUCGUCACCUUGCGUACACGACACUCACAUAUCACAAAUUGUUACAACAGUACCAAAUCCUAAGAGGAUUUUUCCCACACAAGGUUAGAUAAGUCACUUACCUCGAAUCUCGCUCAAUCUAUCGAUAAGGAUACUUUCCCUUUGCUUUUCCACUCCAAAUGGCCCAAAUCUAGCCAAAAUCAAUUACAUACCAUGAAUACAACUAUAAGAAACUAAUUUAAAUAAUAAAUCUACGACUUUAGCAAAGAAUCAAAAAUCGCCUCAAAAGGUCGACCUGGGCCCACGCCGCAGAAUCAGGUAAAAGUCACAAAAUACGAACACCCAUACCAAAAUUACUCAAAUUUGACACAAAAUUCUCGAUCAGAACCCCAAAAUUCGGCCUAAGGAUUUGUUUUCCACCCUUUUCACAGCCCAAAUCCUUAAUUAAUGGAAGAAUAAAUGAUAUCUUAGUGGAAAUUAAUAAAAAAAUAAGUCAAGAAUCCUUACCCAAAUGUUUCCUCUGAAAACCCCUCAAAUUUUUGCCUCAAUCCGAGCCCUAUAUCACAAAUUAUGAAGAAAAGGGCAAACCCUCUAUUUAAUAUAAUCCGCCUAGGCUUUUCGCAUCUGCGGCCAAUUCACCGCACCUGCAGAACCGCUUUUGCGGUAAAAACCUUUGCUUUCUUUUGUGCUUUUAAGCUAUUUUAUGGUAUAUCGAGAUAGUUGGUUCGGGUCCGGAGUGGUUUCUUUAGACACUUAGUCUCUAAAGUAGAAGCUUAAGUUGGAAAAGUCAAUCGGAUAUUGACUUAUGUGUAAACGAUCUUGGAUUUGAAUUUUGACGGUUCUGUUAGCUCCGUUAGAUGAUUUUGGACUUAGGAGUGCGUCUGAAAGUUGGAGUAGGUUUGUGGUGUCAUUUGAGACGUGUAUGUAAAAUUUGAGGUCAUUCGGACGUGGUUUGGUAGGUUUCGGCGUCGUUUGCAGAAUUUGGGAAGUUAGAAGUUCUUAGACUUGAAUCCGAGGGUAAUUUGGUGUUUUGAUGUUAUUUUGAGUGAUUUGAUGAUUUUUCAAAGUUUGUAUGUUGAUAUAUGACUUGUUGGUAUGUUUGGUUGAGGUCUUGAGAGGCUCGGGGUGAGUCCGGGUGGUUAACGGAUUGUUUGAAGUUGGAAAAAUGCAGUUGAAGCUGCUACUACUGGUAUUUCCGCACCUGCGAAGGGGGAGCCGUAGGUGCGAGGUCGUUGGUGCACUUGGUGAGCCGCAGAUGCGGACAUAGAGGACCUGGUCUGGAACCGCAGGUGCGUAAGAUUGGUCGCAUCUGCGAGCCCGUAGAUGCGAGGCUGAGGCGUAGAUGCAGAAGUGAGGAGGACUGGCAGUGGCCGCAAGUGCGAGGUCUUUUGCGCACCUACGAGGUUGCAGAAGCAGAUAUGGAACAUAGGUGCGAGAUAUGUGCGCAAAAAUGGCUCCGAAGGUGCGCAUUAUUUUAGCCACAGGUGCGAAAACCUGGGCAGAACCUAUAGAUAGAAGACUUCGCGAAUUUUUGUUCAUUCCCACCAUUUUCAAGUAGGAACUUGGAGUUUUGGAGUGAUGUUUGAAGGGGAUUCAAGGAUAUUCACUGAGGUAAGUUGCUUGAGCUCUAUUAUCAUUAGCUAUGGUGUUUUUUCGUUAAUGUUCCACCUAAUUAGUAGAAUUUUUGAAGUGAAAUAAGGGGUUAGGGCUUGGGAUUUUUGAGGAUUUGAGGGACCAAAUGAUGUCGGAUUUUGAUAAAUUUAGUAUGGGUAGACUCGUGAGUGAAUAGGCUUUCGGGUUUUAUGACUUUUGUCAGAUUUCGAGAUGUGGGCCCGGGGGGGGUGAGUGAAUUUCGGAAUUUGGCCUAUAAAUUGGUAUUUUCCUUGUGGGAUUUGUUCCUUUAGCUCAUAUUGAUCGUAUUUUAUUGCUUGUGGCUAGAUUCAGGUCAUUUGGAGGACGGUUCAAGAGGAAACGACAUUUCAGAGUAGGAGUUCUACGCGGUUGAAGUAACUAACAGUUUUAAAUCUGGUCUUGAGGGUAUGAAACCCAGAGUUUGGUAUAAUGUGAUUGUUUGGAGGUGGCACUCAUGCUAGGUGACGGGCGUGUGGGUGUACUCCAUGAGGGAUUGAGACUUGGUCCUUACCGGGAGACUAUGAAUUCUAAUAGCCUUUUUUUUGUGUUUAUAUGAAUUCCUGUCUACUAGAACUUGAUUGCCUUUCAUGUUAGAGAUCAUGCUUAGGCUAUAUUCCUGCUCAUGGUAGUUAUAUCCUAUCAUAGUGAUUCUUGUAGAUGUUUACCUCAGUCUCUGUUAUUUUUCCCUGAUGAUAUACUGUAACACUUUGAUUUGGGCUAUUUUCCCUUUCUUUAUUGAAAGCUAUGAGACUAGAGAGGUUCAUGACUGAGUAAGGCUGAAGGCCUGGUUGUGAUGUAUUGUUCUAUGGCACGGUUGUUGUCCGUGCAACACUUGAGUUGUCCAUGCAGAUCCUUAUAUUUAUACUAGGGCACGUGAGUUGUCCGUGCAGCACGUGAGUUGUCUGUGCGGAUCCAGAUAUUUAUACUAUAGCACGUGAGUUGUCCGUGCAGCACGUGAGUUGUCCGUGCAGAUUAUAGCGCUUAGGCUGCAGGAGCCUCUUAUGAGUCUGAACACCCCUAGUGAGCUCAAGUACCUAUUGAGCGUGCAUUGAGGGCUGGGAGUUGAGUGCCGAGUUGUUGAGGGUUUGAGUGACUGUUGCCCUGAGAGGUUGUACUUGCUUUUCAAUUGUUGAUGCACUUAGUUCUAUCUAUCAUUGUUGUGAAAUUUCUGAAAGUUUCUAUAUCCGGAGUACCUACACUUUAACUGUAUAAAACUGAUUUGACUUAAAUUGCGGAUUUGAAAAUAUGUCUAUUCUUUGCUGGAAUUAUUGAAAAUGAACUGUACUGUAUAGCUCGUCACUGCUUCUCAGUUCCUUAUUUAUUUCUGUUACUUACUGAGUUGGUUGUACUCAUGCUACACCCUACACUUCAUGUGUAUAUCCAGGUGGGUUUGAUUACGGAGGUCAUUGAGUUCGGGCGCGAUCGAGUACCGGAGACUACGAGGUAGCCGACGGUGUCCGCAGGACCUUGUCUCUCUUUCUAUAUUUCUUUCUGUCUUGUAUUGAUACUUAGACACUGGUUGUAUUAGUUUGGUUGUCUAGAUGCUCAUGACUUAGUGACACCCCGAUGUUUGGGGCUAGAUUCCAC